ACUACUUCUCUUCUCCAUUAUUUUAUUUCAUUUUCCUUCACAUUUCGCUUUCACUUCCAUUCGAGUCCUCUUAUCUUAACCUAGAAACCAAUCUAUCUGUCCCAACACCUUCACGCUCAUCAAGUCCUCUUGCCUCAGAAGCUCCGGCAAGCUUGCUUUAUAUCCGUCGAGAGUUUUGUCCUCAAUCGGAAAGUAAACAACUAUACCAGUCAACCAGGCGUACGUGUCGAUGCUACAACCAUCGACGGCGACUACGCUACAUGAAUUGGAUUCAUGGGUGGUGUAUGUACUUCCUCCAAGAGACUACUCAACGACAAUAUAGGUGUGUGCAGAGUUUGAUGUUGAGGUACUUUAGCAUCAUAUCGGUCAUGUUUUUGAUCGUUUUGACUGUGUUUCUUGUGGUACUACCGCUGCUUUUGCCACCACUACCACCACCGCCUUUAGUGCUUCUCUUUAUUCCGGUUCUGAUCAUGGCAGUUCUCAUUUUACUGGCGUUUUCUCACUUGUCGCAAGUUCCAAAUAUGGCCGUCGUUUCUGUUUGAUAUAUGAGUAUAAAUGAUGAGGCAGGUUUCAACAUUUCAUAUUCAAUGUUAUAAAACCCCCUCAACCCUUAAUUUCUUUUAUUUUAUCUGAAAAUAUAUCUAAUGGAUAUUAUUAAACA
Malus domestica (apple) is the source of this 661-nucleotide long non-coding RNA. RefSeq lists it as uncharacterized. The record is from RefSeq and is a predicted model, not a curated record. NCBI's taxonomy places the organism in Eukaryota, Viridiplantae, Streptophyta, Magnoliopsida, Rosales, Rosaceae.